GGGCAGAGUAGAAGCAGUCGACCAAUCAGCGUUUAAAUUGAGGAUGUUUGUGGGCGAGCAGCGAAGGACGAAAGAAGAAACUCUGAAUAGUGACAAAAAAAACCCCACAAACAAACCCGUUAUUAUCAUUUUAGGUAUUUCUUUUCGUCACUUUGGUUCGUCAAUUCCAUAAAGAACAUAUUUACUGAACAAGUUUGGACAUUCGGACACAUUUUGGAGCAGUUUGGACACCAAACGCACCUGCGUAUCACGAACGCUGAGUGCCGCGCUGCUCUUGGCCUUGCCCAUGGUGAACCUGACCGUGCCGCUCAUGUCUGCGCUCGUGUUUCUCAGCGUGAGCUUGUGAGUCACCCUGUGGCUCUCCAGCCGCACACAUGGACCCGAGCGAAGAGUCUCUCCAUUCAAAGUCCAGGCGGGAGGUUUCUCUAUCUCCAGAGACACCUCGCACUGGAAACAUGCUGACUCAUGCUCGCUCACCUCCACGUCCUCCAGCUCUUUGACCAUCACGAGCGCCUGGGCUGCAGCGGCAUCAUGGGAAAGAUUUACAGAACAAUUAUUCAUAAAUAAAUAUAUCAAAUAUUGGCACUUUGUUCACAGCUCACUCUCACUAAAAUCGAUACCAGCUUGUCUAUGAUAUCUUAAGAACAUAUGUUCACAUCUUUAUCUCACUGUCAGACAGACUUUUACAACAGGAAACUGAAGUUUGUAAAGCACUCACUCUCAGUUUUCAGCUGGAGAAGUCUGUCUUACAGUGAGAUAAAGAUGUGAACAUAUCUUUUAAAUAUCAUGUUUAUGUGUCAAUAGCUCAUACAGCCACACUUACUGUAUAUAUAUAAACCUUCACUGUUCGUUUAAACUAAGCAGCCAUCUUACCUUCCACCAUCAGCUUGGCCUGGCACGUGUGCUCCCCAACCUCGAUGCUGUAGCUGCCCUCGUCCUCUACCGCCACCUGCUGGAUCACCAGCUUAUGCGAGCAGUCGUCCACCAGCAUGUCCACGCGCUCCGAAGGAGCCAGCUCCUCCCCGUCUUUGUACCAGGUGACGUCGCAGCGAGGCGACGACACGGUGCACUCCAGGAUCACGCGGUGUUUCUCCAGUGCCGUUCGGUCUCGCAGAGGUUUGACGAUGGACACCGGAAGCUCUGGAAGAUCACGAGAGAGAUUGGAAAAGGCACAAUGAAGUGGAAAAUGUGCAAAAUGAACAGUAAAACCAACUCACCUUCCACUUCGAGUGCGGAUCCUGAUGGUGCUGCUGGGUCGGAUCUUGUGACCGUCCUUGUACCACUCUGCUGUCACGUCGUCCAGGGACACCUCGCACAUGAAGACGGCGUUCUGGUCCUCCUGAAUGUAAAGAUCCUCCAUAUCUUGAAGGAUCUUUAAUGCAUGCUCUGAAAGAGAUUUAGAUGGAAAACACUGGGUGCCAGAGUCGCCACGGGAACACUGCAUGAUCUGACAGAACCGCUUCCGACCCAUGGAGUAGAUGCGGCAGUUCUUCCCUGGCUUCAGCUCGGUGCCGUUCUUUUUCACAGAAGAAAAAAAAAGGACAAAGAUCCUGGAUCACCGUUGAAAGGCAACCCCCCUCCCCCCCUGCUCAGUGAGAGUCAAAGAAAGUCAGGGGAAAAAAAUCAGAUCUUCCAUUCAGAAGUGGAGGUUUGCGGUGUCUUGGUCGCGUUCCAUCUGCGAGGCGUCAGGACGCAGGAAAUGACCACAGUCUAAGUUUUCUUUGUUGAAGAUGAACUUGACGUCGGCCUCGGAGUGCGACAGACACUGUUUCUCCAGAGAUUCUGCCAGACGAGGUGGACCACACAGGAACACGCCCACUUUACUCCUGAGGACACACACACACACACACAC
Long non-coding RNA from Solea solea (common sole), 1852 nucleotides. RefSeq lists it as uncharacterized. Lineage: Eukaryota; Metazoa; Chordata; Actinopteri; Pleuronectiformes; Soleidae. The transcript is spliced from 6 exons. The record is from RefSeq and is a predicted model, not a curated record.